This 71-nucleotide transfer RNA is filed under the name Ictidomys tridecemlineatus (thirteen-lined ground squirrel). Its description in RNAcentral is "Spermophilus tridecemlineatus (thirteen-lined ground squirrel) tRNA". It matches the Rfam family "tRNA". From Rfam's summary of the family: Transfer RNA (tRNA) molecules are approximately 80 nucleotides in length. Their secondary structure includes four short double-helical elements and three loops (D, anti-codon, and T loops). Further hydrogen bonds mediate the characteristic L-shaped molecular structure. tRNAs have two regions of fundamental functional importance: the anti-codon, which is responsible for specific mRNA codon recognition, and the 3' end, to which the tRNAs corresponding amino acid is attached (by aminoacyl-tRNA synthetases). tRNAs cope with the degeneracy of the genetic code in two manners: having more than one tRNA (with a specific anti-codon) for a particular amino acid; and 'wobble' base-pairing, i.e. permitting non-standard base-pairing at the 3rd anti-codon position. Lineage: Eukaryota; Metazoa; Chordata; Mammalia; Rodentia; Sciuridae. The record is from Rfam by way of RNAcentral.
GGGGUACAGCUCGGUGGUAAAGCACAUGCUUAGUAUGCUUGAGGCCCUGGGUUUGAGUCCCAGUACACACA